AUGUUUAAACUGGAGAAGAAAUGGGAUAAAUGUGACCCUUGGUCCCAAACAAUCCAUGCAAGCAUCUCCCUGUCUGGCAGAUCUGAAGCAGCCAUAUAUUACAGCCAACCUCCUUUUAUGAUGCACUGUAUUACAGAAGUUCUCUCCCUUGUACUCCUCUGAAUCUUCUAGGCCCAUGGACACUCAACAGACUGCUUCAGCAAAGUAAGAUUCUCCAGUUACAUUCUGAACAUUAUUGUAUCAAUUGGCCAGGGGGUGCAAUGCUUAGAGUUCUGGCCUUGGAGUCAGAAAGAUCUGAAUUCAAAUACUUAUUUCAGAUACUUAUUAGCUGUGUGACUCUGGGCAAAUUAUAUAUCCUUUGUCUACCUCAUUUUCCUCAUCUGUGAAAUUUAGAUAAUAAUAGCAUCUACCUCCCAAUGAGGUUGUAAGAAUAAAAUGAGAUAACACCCAUAAAGUGCUUUAUAA
RNAcentral lists this long non-coding RNA (465 nucleotides) under Monodelphis domestica (gray short-tailed opossum). RNAcentral describes it as "lncRNA (ENSMODG00000043659.1)". Lineage: Eukaryota; Metazoa; Chordata; Mammalia; Didelphimorphia; Didelphidae. The record is from RNAcentral.